Molecule: long non-coding RNA, 962 nt
Organism: Ruditapes philippinarum (Manila clam)
Lineage: Eukaryota; Metazoa; Mollusca; Bivalvia; Venerida; Veneridae
Exons: 4
Source: RefSeq, a predicted model, not a curated record
AAUUUCCUGCGUACAGUGACCACUUGAUUUCAGUAUACAUCGAAGGGUAACUGACUAUAACAAUAUUAUAACAAUUAUCAUCCUCAGUAAAAGUGAAUCAGCUUUCCUGAUGUACUAAAUAAAAUUUCAUUCAUUUUAUAUAUUUAUACAUGUGACGUUCAAAACAUAUGGGGAUAUAUUAGGAUACGGUAAUACGAUUGUGUUUGAUUCAGAUAGAUUAGUCAUUAUAUGUUAAAACAAGGAAGUUAAUUACAGUCUGGGUGAUCAUGAACGCAGAUUAGCAUAAUAGACAACGCCUGUUAUUGAGAUAAGUUGUGACCAGUUAAAGCGGAUAUAACCCACAUAAGAAAGGAAGGGGAAUCCCAGGAAAUAGUCGGACUUAGAAAUGCACUAAAAGCUAUUAAGCAGCUAAAACUGGACAGAGAAAAGAAGUAUUCCAUAUAUCUUAUAAUAUUUGUGUCUAAAUAUUUUAUAUAAGAGUCACCGAGAAACAAUGAUCACAAUGUUCCAGUCAGUUUUACUUUUACUUAUUGUCCUCACUGUGAUUGGUCCUGCAUCUUCAUUGAAUGUUGAUGUUGAAAUUAACAACCUGAGUACACCGUUAACCAAUCUCCAGUUUCAUGACAACAAGUUCUAUAUUGGUGGUCAAGAUAACAUAUAUGUACUUGACAAGGAUUUGAGGCUAUAUCAGAAGGCAGAUACAUGCAAUAGUACAAAGAAAAGAUGUAACAAUGAGAAUAGUCUUCUAUUGGUCAGUGAUAAUAGUGCUGGAAAAUAUUUGAUAACUUGUGGAACUGGAUACUCUGGUAUUUGUGAAACUAGAAAUUUAACUGAGAUUCAAACUGUUAUUAUAAAUAAAACUCACAUGGUUUCAUCAGAUAUUGAUAGGCCAGUACAAGGAAUAGUUUCUGAUACAGAUGGAAAAGUGAUGCUGGCAGUGACAUUUGGUGAUGUUAUACCAA